CUUCCUUUUUUUAAAAGUUCACUAAAAUCCUACUUUUUGUAAAAAUUGUGCAAGUUGGUCCUUUUUGCUAACAGCGUUAAUUCUGCUAACGGCAGAGCUGCCAGCUGGCUAUUAUGUGUUAAAAAAAAAUUAUUAAUUGUGACGUGGAAAUGUAAUAAAAUUAAGGUUAAAAUUAAAAUAGAAAUUUUGGUAAUUUGGGAUAAUUAGACCAACUGAUUUGAAAAUCGCCGGCCACCGCAAAGGCUCUCCCUCCUCUUUCUCUUCUUUCCUCCACGAAACAUCCUCGCCGCUGACGGUGAUGACAGUUGCUAGCGCGGACCAAACCCUGUCUCUGAGAACUGUCUUCUCUUGCUUUCAGCUCGCCUAGAAACGCUUUCAAGUGUUUGUGAUUUGGUCUCACCCUCAUCUGGGGAAUCAAGGUUCCACCUUUUUGGGCACCACACGCACGACAACAUGACCAUCACAACGAACCACAUUAACCUCGUUUCGUAAUUCAUCCAUAGAACGAUGCAAAAAACUGCGUUUUGAAAAAAAAUUGACGAUAGGGAAUGGAAGUGGAUGAAAACGAAACCCACCCACGAGUGAUGUUAAUAAAUUAAAACCAAACUAACACAGAACCAUAAUUUGGCCUAAUUUACCGUGAUGAUUGUUUAAGAAUCUUAUGUAAUUCCUAAAUUCCCCAAUUUCUAACCCUAAUUCCAAAAUUACAACCACAUGGAGGAAUUAUAGACAAACCUGUUGACGACGAAAUUUAUUCUAAAUUUUAUUUUAGUAUUAUGUUUUUUCUUCACCGGAGAAUGACAUUUUAUAUCAUUGCCGGAGUUAUAUCAGGGGCCCUUCUCUAUAUUAAAGAUAAUUUUGAAGCCGUCAGACACAACAAUUCAUCCGAUGAAUGACUUAUGUUGACGGCGUUUCUGGGUGAGCGGAAGCAAGAGCAGACAGUCCUCAGAGUCAAGGUUUGAUCCGCGCCAGCAACUGCCAUCACCGGCAACAGCGAGGAUGUUUCGUGGAGGAACGUGAAUUUUUUUCUUUCCCCUGAAGAAGAAAAAGAGGAGGGAGAGCCCUUGCGGUGGUCCGCGAUGGUACCAGUGGACAAACUAAAUUCUUUCAAAUCAGUUUGUCUAAUUACUCCAAAUUACCCUAAUUUCAAUUUUAAUUUUAACCCUAAUUUUAUUACAUUUCCACGUCACAAUUAAUAAUUUUUUUUAACACAUAAUAGCCAGCUAGCAGCCUUGCCGUUAACAGAAUUAACGCCGUUAGCAAAAAGGACCAACUUGCACAAUUUUUGCAAAAUGUAGGACUUUAGUGAACUUUUUAAAAAAGAAAGGACCACCUUGAACAAAACCCCCCAAAAGAGGGACCAAAAUAGGUAUUAAACCUAAUAUUUGAGUGUGACCCCUUAAUAAGAUAAAAAGUCAUAUAUAAG
RNAcentral lists this long non-coding RNA (1426 nucleotides) under Vigna radiata. Its description in RNAcentral is "long non-coding RNA (VRAD_LNC004065)". The record is from RNAcentral. Lineage: Eukaryota; Viridiplantae; Streptophyta; Magnoliopsida; Fabales; Fabaceae.